CAAGUCUGGUCUGGGCAAAGGUUAGCCACCAGUCCAGCACCAAAUCCCACGCAUAGGGAGGUAACAAGCUAUGUGAAGCUGGGAGGCGGGAGGUAUCGGGCUGCAACGAAAGUGAAUGUAUUGAGCCCCGAAAUAACCAGCGUGUCGGAGGCCGAUGCCCUUCAUAUGGCAGUAGGCAGAAGUCUCUUAACCGAUAGGGCGAGGUUG
This is a non-coding RNA of Deltaproteobacteria bacterium CG2_30_43_15, 207 nucleotides long. The record is from Rfam. NCBI's taxonomy places the organism in Bacteria, Deltaproteobacteria.